This 585-nucleotide ribosomal RNA is filed under the name uncultured bacterium. RNAcentral describes it as "bacterial SSU rRNA". It matches the Rfam family "Bacterial small subunit ribosomal RNA", at positions 338 to 943 of the family's 1533-position model. The record is from RNAcentral.
CCUACGGUAGGCAGCAGUGGGGAAUCUUGCACAAUGGAGGAAACUCUGAUGCAGCGAUGCCGCGUGAGUGAAGAAGGCCUUUGGGUUGUAAAGCUCUUUUGUAGGGGAAGAUAAUGACUGUACCCUAAGAAUAAGGUCCGGCUAACUUCGUGCCAGCAGCCGCGGUAAUACGAAGGGACCUAGCGUAGUUCGGAAUUACUGGGCGUAAAGCGCGCGUAGGCCGUUGAGUUAGUUAAUUGUGAAAUCCCAAAGCUUAACUUUGGAACUGCAAUUAAAACUGCUCGACUAGAGUUUGAUAGAGGAAAGCGGAAUAUAUAGUGUAGAGGUGAAAUUCGUAGAUAUUAUGUAGAACACCAGUUGCGAAGGCGGCUUUCUGGAUCAACACUGACGCUGAGGCGCGAAAGUAUGGGUAGCAAAGAGGAUUAGAUACCCUCGUAGUCCAUACCAUAAACGAUGAUUGCUAGAUGUUGGAAAUUUAUUUUCAGUAUCGCAGCUAACGCAUUAAGCAAUCCGCCUGGGGAUACGACCGCAAGGUUAAAACCUUAAAUGAAUUGACCGGNNGNGANGCGAGCGACACGAGGAGAG